UGUGUGCAGAACUGCAGCUGGCCCAGAGCGCAAUACAGCGAGGAGCCAGGGGUCGUCUGUGUUCACACAGGUGCUGACCACACUGGCCUUCCUGGCAACAGGGCCAUUCCAGUGGGAGCUGACUGAUCAGUCGGGAGUGUGCCAGUCAACCUUGCGCCGAGCCAUGCCAGCUGUGUGGGACAGAAUUAUCCAAAUGUCAUCUAGUGAGUGGGCGUGUC
This is a long non-coding RNA of Thalassophryne amazonica, 218 nucleotides long. RefSeq lists it as uncharacterized. Lineage: Eukaryota; Metazoa; Chordata; Actinopteri; Batrachoidiformes; Batrachoididae. The transcript is spliced from 3 exons. The record is from RefSeq and is a predicted model, not a curated record.